CCUACGGGUGGCAGCAGUGAGGAAUAUUGGUCAAUGGACGAGAGUCUGAACCAGCCAAGCAGCGUGAAGGAUGACUGCCCUAUGGGUUGUAAACUUCUUUUAUAUGGGAAUAAAAUGUUCCACGUGUGGGAGUUUGUAUGUACCAUAUGAAUAAGGAUCGGCUAACUCCGUGCCAGCAGCCGCGGUAAUACGGAGGAUCCGAGCGUUAUCCGGAUUUAUUGGGUUUAAAGGGAACGUAGGUGGAUUGUUAAGUCAGUUGUGAAAGUUUGGGGCUCAACCGUAACAUUGCAGUUGAAACUGGCAGUCUUGAGUACAGGAGAGGUGGGCGGAAUGCGUGGUGUAGCGGUGAAAUGCUUAGAUAUCACGAAGAACUCCGAUUGCGAAGGCAGCUCACUGGACUGCAACUGACACUGAGGCUCGAAAGUGUGGGUAUCAAACAGGAUUAGAUACCCGAGUAGUC
This 460-nucleotide ribosomal RNA is filed under the name uncultured bacterium. RNAcentral describes it as "partial 16S ribosomal RNA". It matches the Rfam family "Bacterial small subunit ribosomal RNA", at positions 338 to 795 of the family's 1533-position model. The record is from RNAcentral.